Molecule: long non-coding RNA, 1069 nt
Filed under: Homo sapiens (human)
Lineage: Eukaryota; Metazoa; Chordata; Mammalia; Primates; Hominidae
Description: PREDICTED lncRNA (TCONS_00029904)
Source: RNAcentral
ACUGGUCAUACCUCUUUGCACUCUCGCCUUAUACAAAAAGCACAGAAUAAACACUGGCCAGAUGGAAAUGAACUAAGUGAUGCCCUUUAUACUAACGCGCAUAUCCAUUUCACAAUGCCAUGGACCAAUGUUCUCAUCUCAGUUGUGACUUAACUCUCUCUCCCCAACGAGCGAGGGGCUGAAUGAUCACCUUAGUCUUCACCGGAAGAAUUCUCCUGGGAUGACUUCAAGGAGUGAAAAUUAUUUGCAGAACCUUCAACAGAGUUGCUUAUUGAUGAAUCCAUCAGCUGUAGAGCUUCCCCCUUCAACUGUGGCCUGAAAGAUGAUGUUGGCUCACUUGAGGCACUGCUGGAAAUUGCCGUGUGUUCAGGGUGGGCGUAGACCUCUGAACCAGAGAAGCUUUUAUAGAUUUAGAGAAACUUUGUGGGGUACAGACUAAAUGGGGAGACUUCAUCUUCUCAUCAGAGCACUCUGGCAACCGGUAUCUGUACCACCAGAACAUUGUGUUUGCAGAUUGAAUGCCUGACGGUCUACAGGUUACUCCACCAGAGGCGGCACCUUCACACUCAGAGAAUAAGGCACCCAUGGGUCUGGUACCAUGUGACCAGCACUGCUCUGUGUUGUAGAAAACAAUUUGUUAAAGGGAAUAUUGAGACUCACACUGAGCCCAGCUUGGUCUUUGUGUCAUUGAAGAUGAAAAGAAACAGGAGAUGGAGUUUUGGGCUGUAAGUAACUUUGAAGUGAAUUGAGAAGAUGUGAAAUACAUAAUAUAAAUAAUAAUGAAAUAGUUGAUGAGUAAGUAGUGAUGUGCAUAGGCCAGCCCAUGAUAACAAAGCACUGGUGCUGGCCGUGUUGUCCAGGGCUGUGAUGGAAGCUGAAUGAAAGAAAAGAGAUUGGACAUGGUCUUUAGAGAUUAGCCAGGAUUUGGGUAAACUGAGGGGACGGCAAAUGAAGAGAAGCAGGUUCAGCAGCCCCAAGGAUGAUUGAGCAAGCCAGGGGCUCACAUCGCAUCAGCUGGAAUCCAGAAUGCUUCAUAGAGACCCAGUUGUCAAGGGCUAAACCAAGAGGA